Molecule: unclassified non-coding RNA, 166 nt
Filed under: uncultured Helotiales
Lineage: Eukaryota; Fungi; Ascomycota; Leotiomycetes; Helotiales
Description: sequence contains ITS1
Source: RNAcentral
AUGAGAACUUGCCCUCCGGGGUAGACCUCCCACCCUAUGUUAUAUUACCCUGUUGCUUUGGCGGGCCGUCAGGCUUCGGCCAGGCUAUCGGCUCCGGCUGGUAAGCGCCCGCCAGAGAACCCCAAACUCUGAAUGUUAGUGUCGUCUGAGUACUAUCUAAUAGUUA